This 337-nucleotide unclassified non-coding RNA is filed under the name soil metagenome. RNAcentral's name for it is "partial contains 5.8S ribosomal RNA, internal transcribed spacer 2, and large subunit ribosomal RNA". The stretch from base 1 to 120 matches the Rfam family "5.8S ribosomal RNA", at positions 35 to 154 of the family's 154-position model. The record is from RNAcentral.
GAUGAAGAACGUAGCGAAAUGCGAUAAGUAAUGUGAAUUGCAGAAUUCAGUGAAUCAUCGAAUCUUUGAACGCACAUUGCGCCCCUUGGUAUUCCGAGGGGCAUGCCUGUUCGAGCGUCAUUACACCACUCAAGCUAUGCUUGGUAUUGGGUGUCGUCCUUAGUUGGGCGCGCCUUAAAGACCUCGGCGAGGCCUCCCCGGCUUUAGGCGUAGUAGAAUUUAUUCGAACGUCUGUCAAAGGAGAGGAACUCUGCCGACUGAAACCUUUAGUUUUACAGGUUGACCUCUGAUCAGGUAGGGAUACCCGCUGAACUUAAGCAUAUCAAUAAGCGGAGGA